This 329-nucleotide long non-coding RNA is filed under the name Manihot esculenta (cassava). Its description in RNAcentral is "long non-coding RNA (MESC_LNC011535)". Lineage: Eukaryota; Viridiplantae; Streptophyta; Magnoliopsida; Malpighiales; Euphorbiaceae. The record is from RNAcentral.
UUCAGAAAUUUGAGAAGAGAGAAAAGACAUACUUACCGUAGCCAUGCUUGUAAGGUCUUGGCAGUGCGUUCAAUUUCUGGAUCGUAAAGAAGAGCUUCUUUACGAUCAGCCCUGGUCAUAAAAGGAAAAUACGUUAGUUAGAUCAAAUCCCCGGCAGCGGCGCCAAUUUUUGAUAAGCGGUUGUCGAAGCCAUAAAAAAUAAACCUAUUAUCAACCAACAAAAUAAAUUGCGGAUAGUGGCAAUAGGGUCGAACCACAGGGAAUUGACACUACGGAUUUUCCUAAUAAUGACUUGGUCAAGUAAAUAACAAGUAAAUAAAAGAGGGGGG